This 83-nucleotide transfer RNA is filed under the name marine eukaryotic metagenome. It matches the Rfam family "tRNA". From Rfam's summary of the family: Transfer RNA (tRNA) molecules are approximately 80 nucleotides in length. The record is from RNAcentral.
GAGAGGUGGCUGAGUGGUUGAAAGCGGCGGUCUUGAAAACCGUUAACCCGCAAGGGUUCGGGGGUUCGAAUCCCUCCCUCUCC